GCGCCGAGCGGCAGCUAGCCUACAACGAAGAUCUGCACAAGGGCGCUACAAGAUCUGCAUGGACGUCCUAGAAUCCACCGGGUGAGAUGGAUUCUUUUUCUCUUUUAUUCUCCACUCGUCCUGCUGUAGACCAAAUAGAUCAGAUUUAUUGGAAGAUAUGUUGUGAUGUUGAUGAUUGAUUUCAGUCUGUAGUAACAUGAGUCCCACGCUCGGCCUCCUGCAAGGGCGACCUUUCCUACUCCCAAAAGCAGACCUGGUUCAAGAUCAGAGGCAACAAGUAAGCUCCUACUAUGUGUCUAUGUUAAUUUGUCAUCUCAGUAUAAUUCAUCCCCAUCCCACUACAUUUAGUUCAGUUCAGUUAAGUGAUUAGGCAUAAUGCGCGAAUGCAAGCAAGGUUGGGAUGAAUGGGUCGAUGGUGUCAUGCCUCGGCCCACAGGACCAGGUAAGGCAACUUGCACUUUGAUUUCCAAAGUGGUGGUUUGGA
RNAcentral lists this long non-coding RNA (484 nucleotides) under Triticum aestivum (bread wheat). RNAcentral's name for it is "long non-coding RNA (TAES_LNC001058)". The record is from RNAcentral. Lineage: Eukaryota; Viridiplantae; Streptophyta; Magnoliopsida; Poales; Poaceae.